Molecule: ribosomal RNA, 496 nt
Filed under: uncultured bacterium
Lineage: Bacteria
Description: partial 16S ribosomal RNA
Rfam family: Bacterial small subunit ribosomal RNA
Source: RNAcentral
GAUGAACGCUGGCGGCGUGCCUAAUACAUGCAAGUCGAGCGAACAGACGAGGAGCUUGCUCCUCUGACGUUAGCGGCGGACGGGUGAGUAACACGUGGAUAACCUACCUAUAAGACUGGGAUAACUUCGGGAAACCGGAGCUAAUACCGGAUAAUAUAUUGAACCGCAUGGUUCAAUAGUGAAAGACGGUUUUGCUGUCACUUAUAGAUGGAUCCGCGCCGCAUUAGCUAGUUGGUAAGGUAACGGCUUACCAAGGCGACGAUGCGUAGCCGACCUGAGAGGGUGAUCGGCCACACUGGAACUGAGACACGGUCAGACUCCUACGGGAGGCAGCAGUAGGGAAUCUUCCGCAAUGGGCGAAAACCUGACGGAGCAACGCCGCGUGAGUGAUGAAGGUCUUCGGAUCGUAAAACUCUGUUAUUAGGGAAGAACAAAUGUGUAAGUAACUAUGCACGUCUUGACGGUACCUAAUCAGAAAGCCACGGCUAACUACGUG